UUCCCCAUGUGACCCAGAGACUUGCUCCUC
RNAcentral lists this non-coding RNA (30 nucleotides) under Mus musculus (house mouse). The record is from RNAcentral. Lineage: Eukaryota; Metazoa; Chordata; Mammalia; Rodentia; Muridae.